This 1199-nucleotide long non-coding RNA is filed under the name Equus caballus (horse). Its description in RNAcentral is "lncRNA (ENSECAG00000056743.1)". Lineage: Eukaryota; Metazoa; Chordata; Mammalia; Perissodactyla; Equidae. The record is from RNAcentral.
CUCCUCUAUGCUAGGCACACACUGAACGUGCAGUACGUAAUAGUGACGGUGUGGACGUGAGCCCUGUCCUCAAGAUGCUUAGAGUAUGAUGUGGGUGUCAAAAAUAGUGGGAGAGAUAAGGGACAUUCGAUAAGAUAUCCAGCCAGUACAAGGACUGAGAGACUGUCAGAGACCAAAGGAGAUUAAGGAGACGUGAUGACUAAAUGCAAUAUGGUACCCUGGAUUGGAUCCUGGAACAGAAGGAGGACAUUCAUGGAAAAACUGGUGAAAUUCACGUCUGGAAUUUAGUUAACAGUAACGGACCAAUGUUGGAAGCAACAAAACGUGACCCUGGUACCUGUCCGUUGUGAGACCCGGAUGUUCAGCUUUCCUUCUAUUAGAUGAGAUCCCGUAGGUUCACGUGAGACGAGACAUCACAGAUUCGGAGUGCCAGGAAGAGAAUGGAAUGUGUCACCUGUUUGUCCCGCAACGAGAGAGGGCAAAGCACCUUCCAUAAUUAUCCUAUAGAGACUGAAGGAGACCUUACCAAGAUCCUGGCCUAGAGGAGAAAGACCAAAGCUUAGCCUGUUUCGCUGCCUGCCACAAUGGAUGCUGAAGAAAAUACUGAAUUUGUGUGCCCAUCUCAGAAGCACAGAGCUCAGAGGGGUAUAAGUGUAAAUUCAAACCCCAGAGACACAAGGGUGCUAAGACCAGACGGGCCCUUGGAGAUCAAUCAAAUAUCCUGUGUUUCUUGAAUGGGCAUAGACACAUAUGUCCAUCCCAUGCCAAAAUUUGAUUAUAUUGCGUCCUACUGCUGUGCGAAUUUUCCUUGGAGGUUGUUAUGUUAGAUUAGAAUAAACACAAACAUACAUGGAUUUUUGUGGUCUCUUGUUUAUCCUUAAGAAGUUUCGCUCCUAAGUUCAGCUGGCUUGAGUUCCAUCUCCAGCUGUUCAAAGUUGACUCCAACACAUUUUAUAGAUGGGAAAACCGAGGCCCAGUGGGAGGAGACCCUUGACCAAGGUCACACAGUGAGCAAAUCUCAGGGCCAAUCCUGCAACCAGGCCGCCUCCUUUUCCAGCCCAAUUAAGAAGGAAAGAAAGAGCUAAGGGAGGACAAAAAUGUGGUGGUGGCUUUGGUUUCCUUUUAUUUUAAAUCAAGAGUAAUUUUUUUUUUCCAGAUCUAUCCUUGGGUUUUUGGUCUGCAGCUCUGAGAAGGUAGAU